UACGUAGGGUGCGAGCGUUAAUCGGAAUUACUGGGCGUAAAGCGUGCGCAGGCGGUUUUGUAAGCCAGAUGUGAAAUCCCCGGGCUUAACCUGGGAAUGGCAUUUGGGACUGCAAGGCUUGAGUUUGGCAGAGGAGACUGGAAUUCCUGGUGUAGCAGUGAAAUGCGUAGAUAUCAGGAGGAAUACCGAUGGCGAAGGCAGGUCUCUGGGCUGAAACUGACGCUCAUGCACGAAAGCGUGGGGAGCAAACAGG
Molecule: ribosomal RNA, 253 nt
Filed under: uncultured bacterium
Lineage: Bacteria
Description: partial 16S ribosomal RNA
Rfam family: Bacterial small subunit ribosomal RNA
Source: RNAcentral